This 254-nucleotide ribosomal RNA is filed under the name uncultured bacterium. RNAcentral describes it as "partial 16S ribosomal RNA". It matches the Rfam family "Bacterial small subunit ribosomal RNA", at positions 524 to 776 of the family's 1533-position model. The record is from RNAcentral.
UACGGGGGGGGCAAGCGUUGUUCGGAAUUACUGGGCGUAAAGGGCUCGUAGGCGGCCAACUAAGUCAGACGUGAAAUCCCUCGGCUUAACCGAGGAACUGCGUCUGAUACUGGAUGGCUUGAGAUUGAAAGAGGGAUGCGGAAUUCCAGGUGUAGCGGUGAAAUGCGUAGAUAUCUGGAGGAACACCGGUGGCGAAGGCGGCAUCCUGGACCAACACUGACGCUGAGUGAGCGAAAGCCAGGGGAGCAAACGGG